CUAAGGUAGCGAAAUUCCUUGUCGGGUAAGUUCCGACCCGCACGAAAGGCGUAACGAUUUGGGCACUGUCUCAACAACAGACUCGGUGAAAUUGUAAUACCGGUGAAGAUGCCGGUUACCUGCGACAGGACGGAAAGACCCCAUGGAGCUUUACUGUAGCUUGACAUUGAGUCUCGGUGCUACAUGUACAGGAUAGGUGGGAGACUAUGAAGCAUGGACGUCAGUCUGUGUGGAGUCAUCCUUGGGAUACCACCCUUGUAGUACUGGGAUUCUAACCAGAGGCCAUGAAUCUGGUCUUGGGACACUGUCAGGUGGGCAGUUUGACUGGGGCGGUCGCCUCCUAAAAAGUAACGGAGGCGCUCAAAGGUUUCCUCAGCACGGUCGGAAAUCGUGCGAAGAGUGUAAAGGCAAAAGGAAGCUUGAUUGCAAGACAUACAGGUCGAGCAAGGACGAAAGUCGGACUUAGUGAUCCGGUGGUACCGCAUGGAAGGGCCAUCGCUCAACGGAUAAAAGCUACCCUGGGGAUAACAGGCUGAUCUCCCCCAAGAGUCCACAUCGACGGGGAGGUUUGGCACCUCGAUGUCGGCUCAUCACAUCCUGGGGCUGUAGUAGGUCCCAAGGGUUGGGCUGUUCGCCCAUUAAAGUGGUACGCGAGCUGGGUUCAGAACGUCGUGAGACAGUUCGGUCCCUAUCCGUCGCAGGCGUAGGAAAUUUGAGAAGACCUGUCCUUAGUACGAGAGGACCGGGAUGGACGUACCUCUGGUGUACCAGUUGUUCUGCCAAGGGCAUGGCUGGGUAGCUAUGUACGGAAUGGAUAAGCGCUGAAAGCAUCUAAGCGCGAAGCCAACUUCAAGAUAAGAUUUCCCACCGUAAGGGUAAGACCCCAGGAAGACUACCUGGUUGAUAGGUCGAAGGUGUAAGUGCAGUAAUGUAUUUAGCUUAUCGAUACUAAUAGGUCGAGGACUUGACCAA
RNAcentral lists this ribosomal RNA (972 nucleotides) under human gut metagenome. Its description in RNAcentral is "bacterial LSU rRNA". It matches the Rfam family "Bacterial large subunit ribosomal RNA", at positions 1951 to 2925 of the family's 2925-position model. The record is from RNAcentral.